Long non-coding RNA from Rattus norvegicus (Norway rat), 1751 nucleotides. RefSeq lists it as uncharacterized. The record is from RefSeq and is a predicted model, not a curated record. NCBI's taxonomy places the organism in Eukaryota, Metazoa, Chordata, Mammalia, Rodentia, Muridae.
AAUCAUAGCAAGGAAAAGAAUAUCAGACAAUAGGGGAGGAAAAAAACAAUGUUCCGAAUAGGUCUAUACACCGCAGACAUUUUUUAAUCUACACUGUAUGUUAAUUUAUAGACUAUAUUACUUCUUCCCAGACACUUUCACCCGAAAGUCCAUGUCUCUGAAAUUGAUUAAUGUUUCUUACGGAACAACCACAGCAACCAAGUAAGUUUCACAACAAAUUUGUCAUAAAUUCAAAUUGUUCAUUAAAGAAAUGUCUGCUUUUUUUCCUCUUAGAAAGACACAUUUUCUUAAUGUUUCAAAAUACAGCAAAAGGGCACAGAUGGGCACAAAAAAAUCAAAUAUAUGUGUUUUACAGAAAAUGUGAUUUAAAAAGAAUUGAGGUGUUCAAAGAUUGUUCAUAAUGAGUUGAUAGAAUUCUGGCUGGAUAAAAGCGGUCAUUCUCACUGGCUUCAAGAGAAUCUCGUCCCCUACACGAGUCUGACCAGCUGGUAUUUGUGUAACUGGAACCCUGAAGGAGGGAAGCAUGCCUACCACAGGUAAGUCUUUGUUGCAGGGUACAUUGCUAUACGGAACAAAGGCACAGACCAACAUUUGGACUGAGUCGUCACAUCUGAGGGGCGUGCUCAUUUUCGAGCUGUCUGACUCAGCUUCCACAAAUAGAACAACUCCAGCCAGCUUAGAAACACAAACGGAACAGGAUCCCCCAAGGCGGUGUGGGAGCCUUGGCUCGCUGAGUCCAACUGGCAUGAACACUAUGAAGGAAAAGGGCACCUAACUGACUGUGGCACUGAAUGAAGACCUCAGGAGCCAGACCUGCACAAGGCUAGCUCCAUGACUACCAUGCACAUCUGCUUCCUCAGUACCCUAGCCCAGUGCUACACGUUCAAGUCAACCACCAUCUAUCAGCUAGAUGAUGUUGGUUGAAACAUAAAGGAAGGCCUGAAAGCUAAACGUUCAGAGAUGUGCAUUGGAUGGAUGUGAGAUAUGAACGUGAGGCCCAGGAAGGUUAAGAAGCUCGCCCAAGGGGUUGGGGAUUUGGCUCAGUGGUAGAGCGCUUGCCUAGGAAGCGCAAGGUCCUGGGUUCGAUCCCCAGCCCCGAAAAAAAAGAAAAAAAAAGAUUAUUAAAAAAAAAAGAUUAUAAAAAAAAAAAAGAAGCUCCUCCAAUGUGUCAAAGAUACUGAAGCAGCAGGAGGGAAAUGACUACAGGGUACUAGAGGUUGAAGAGAAGAGCCAGUUGUAAAGAGCAGGUAGAGAACCUAGAAAAGGGUGUGGCUCUUGAGUGUCCGCCAGGAACUGGGGGAGUAAUCGAAUAGGAAGAGACCAAGAGAAUGCAAGGGACUGGGAUGGAGAAAGGGUCUCAUGGAAAGAAGUGAUGGAUGCUGGUGGAGCCAACUAGGGGGCGGGAGCCAGGCUAAGGCAGCAGGUGAAUUGAUGGGACAAGAGGAAGCUGACAGGGUCUCUCUCUCUCUGUGGGGCAGGCAGGGUGCUGAGCUGGUCAGCCAGGAGGGAAAUGUGGCUUAGGGGUGGCACAAAGAUCAAGCUGGGAAGACCAGUGUGGAAACUAUUAAGGGCUUUCCCACAGGGCGGGGCAGUGAAGUCUGGGUUGAAAGGGUUCUGGAAUGAUGGCUGGAGAGGGCGUGGUCUGGCACUGGGGAAGAAGCUGAAUGCGAAGCUUUCGGUGGGGGAAAAUGGGUGGUCCUCGCGAGGGAAUGAGGGUGACCAGCAUCGCCUGCUGCCCGUCUCACCUGUAG